UACCUGCCUGAGAAGGACAGCACUGGCAUGCAUAGAAUGAGAAGAGUUGUGGUGAAGCAAGAGGAGAAAAGCAGGAUACUAAACAUGUGCCACGAUGGACUGGAUGGGAUGCAUUUUGGGAGAGACAAGACCUAUGGAAAGGUUGCUCAGGAUUUCUACUGGAAAGGCCUACAUGCUGACGUCAUACAGCUCUGCAAGCACUGCGACAAAUGCCAACGAACGAAUCACCAACUGCAGAAGCCCAGAGCAGAACUACACCCCAUCCCUGUGACAAAGGUCUGGUACAGAGUUGGUAUUGACUUGGUAGGACCUCUACCUGAAACAAGCUCUGGAAACAAGUACAUUAUCACCCUCUCAGACUAUUUCUCUAAGUGGCCUGAGGCUGCCCCACUCCCAUCAAAAUCAGCAGAAGGUGUAGCAAAAUUUCUGUUUGACACAUUUUGCAGGCAUGGGUGGCCAAAAGUGAUUCAAUCAGACCAAGGAAGAGAGUUUGUCAACGAAAUCAACACCCGACUUUUUCAGUUGACUGACAUACAGCACUGCGUAUCAAGUGCUUACCACCCACAAACAAAUGGCCUUGAUGAACGCUUCAACCAGACUCUAUAUAGUGAACACUCUCAAGAAGGUAAUCGAUUCUAUAGUACUGAUGACUGGGAUUAGCAUCUCUCUGCUGCUCUUUAUGCCUAUCGCAUAUCAAAACAGGCGUCAUCAAAGUACACACCCUUUUUCCUAAUGUUCAAUCGCCACCCGCGGAAAGCUGUUACUUUUGAUAUGGAUCAACGAGAUGGUGUCGACGCUAUAGAAGAUAGAGGAGAUGCUGACCAAUUGAGUGGAGAGGAGACUGAAAAUGAAGAAGACGGAGAAGACAUGGAUGGAAUUCUCCAAAGGUUGAUGGAAAUUCGUGACCGCUGUCACCUCAAUGCCAAGGAGAACAUUGCUGCUGCACAGCAAAAACAGAAGCAGCAGUAUGACAACAAGCAUAACUCUUUGAAGAGUUAUCCAGUUGGCAGCAGUGUCAUGCUAUGCUAUAUCGUGUCAUGGCCAAUUCUCAUCGAAUGGGAGGGAAAAUGGACUGCACCUGGAAAGGUCCAUAUAUUGUCCAUAAGAUCCUUGACAAGGGUAGAUACGAGUUGCAGUCUGGGAGCGGCAAAGUAUUGAAAAAGUGUUACAAUGGGGUACUGCUAAAGGAAUACUACUCUCCAGAAACCAACGAUGAAGAAAACACUCUUCCUGGCUCUGAAGACAACCACUCUUCUCCAGUCAAAUCACCUCCUAAGAAUAAACGAAUGCCUGACGUAUACCCUCUCAAAAUCCUGACCUACCCUCUCAAAAGCCUGAUGCACCCUCUUAAAAGCCUGACCUACCCUCUCAAAAGCCUGAUAUACCCUCUCAAAAGCCUGAUGUACCCUUUCAAAAGCCUGACCUACCCUCUCAAAAGCCUGAUGUACCCUCUCAAAAGCCUGAUGUACCCUCUCAAAAACCUGACCUAUACCCUCUCAAAAGCCUGACCUACCCUCUCAAAAGCAAGAUAAGCGUGAUAAGCGUCCUCUUGACACAAAAGAUCCUUGCAAGUCACCUCCUAGGAAGAAACAAAAGAGUCAGGGAACGAUGUGGCUGAAGAAACCUCUUUGACAAACAAGUGUUGAGUGCAAUAGGUGGUAUGCUCUCCGACAAGCAUAUGCGUGCAGCCCACCAGUUAUUAUCGAUGCAAUUCCUUAAGUUUGAAGGCUGCUAUAAUACUCUCUUGGCCCAAUUAAAGGCAUUUCCACCAGUUUUCAAUAAUCAAGGCCCAGCUGUGCAAAUCUUCUUUGUUGAAGAACGACAGCACUGGAUUGCCACUUCUCUGUUUAAGGGUGAACUGUAUUUAUACGACAGCUGCUUCAAUGGAACGCUUUCCCCAAGUACUGAGCUCCAGAUAGCACAAGUGUAUAGCCCAUUAAUUCAAUGCAAUGGGCUGUUGAUUUCUGUGGUGGCUCUCCAGCAGCAAGAGGGUGCUAACAACUGCGGACUAUUUAGCAUUGCUGCUGCAUAUCACGCUGCUAUGAACGAUAAUGUGGAUUCUCUAGUGUUUGAUGAGGCCAAAAUGAGAGCACAUCUCAUUAAGUGCUUUGAGAAGGGCAAACUCUCACGGUUCCCUCGCACAAAGAAAGUGAUGCCCAAAAGACCAACACCACAAACCAUUGCCAUUACAAUAAUAUAUUAUACUGCAUGUGCAAGAGACCGGACUCUUUUGAGGAUAUGGUCAUGUGUGACAAAUGUAGUGAGUGGUAUCACUAUCGCUGUGCCAAAAUUCGCAAAGAACCAGUAGGUAAUUGGUUUUGUUCUGGUUGCAUCACUUUAUGAUUUGUGCACUUUUGGUUAUAUUUAUUGUACUUCUUUCUCUUGCAUUGUUGUAUAUAUUGAGUAUUGAGA
Molecule: long non-coding RNA, 2412 nt
Organism: Halichondria panicea
Lineage: Eukaryota; Metazoa; Porifera; Demospongiae; Suberitida; Halichondriidae
Exons: 7
Source: RefSeq, a predicted model, not a curated record